CCUACGGGAGGCAGCAGUGGGGAAUAUUGCACAAUGGGCGGAAGCCUGAUGCAGCGACGCCGCGUGAGGGAUGACGGCCUUCGGGUUGUAAACCUCUUUCAGCAGGGACGAAGCGAAAGUGACGGUACCUGCAGAAGAAGCGCCGGCCAACUACGUGCCAGCAGCCGCGGUAAGACGUAGGGCGCGAGCGUUGUCCGGAUUUAUUGGGCGUAAAGAGCUCGUAGGCGGCUUGUCGCGUCGACUGUGAAAACCCGCGGCUCAACCGCGGGCCUGCAGUCGAUACGGGCAGGCUAGAGUUCGGUAGGGGAGACUGGAAUUCCUGGUGUAGCGGUGAAAUGCGCAGAUAUCAGGAGGAACACCGAUGGCGAAGGCAGGUCUCUGGGCCGAUACUGACGCUGAGGAGCGAAAGCGUGGGGAGCGAACAGGAUUAGAUACCCUGGUAGUCCACGCUGUAAACGUUGGGCGCUAGGUGUGGGGGACCUCUCCGGUUCUCUGUGCCGCAGCUAACGCAUUAAGCGCCCGCCUGGGGAGUACGGCCGCAGGCAAAACGUCAAAGGAAUUGACGG
Molecule: ribosomal RNA, 566 nt
Filed under: uncultured bacterium
Lineage: Bacteria
Description: bacterial SSU rRNA
Rfam family: Bacterial small subunit ribosomal RNA
Source: RNAcentral